UUCUUAAAAUUUUCCUCUGGUUACAAAAUCAGUAGCAGCCCACCUAAUCAACUUAAAGCAAAUUACACUUUUGACUCAAACAGCUCAUGGCAGUUAUGGUUUCUGCAGAGUUUUUCCCUUUUUUUUUGCAUCAGUUACACAAACUUGAUUAAAAAAAAAAAAUCAGUAAUGAAAUCAUCUAAUUCAAGCAUGAAACAGAAAACAUCAAAUCACACAUCAAACUCAGAAUUAAGCUUAAUAUAUCAAAGUCAAAGAUAACAAAACAACUCAAAUUAAUCAAGCUGGAAACAUUCACGAAAAUAUCUCAAUGAAUAAAUUGAUCGCAUAAAAAUAAAUAUCAAUUGAAAAAACAAAGACAAAAACUCACUUUUCCAAGAAGAGACACAAAUAGGGUUUAAGCGAGAGGGAGAAAAGAGAGUUCAGGUGGCCAUAAAACGGAAGCUGAAGGCUUCUUUAUAGUUAUAUUAAAUUAAGAUUACUUGAUCUUUCCGUUCAAAGAGAGGUUUUACAGAAAUUAAAAAGAUCAGCGUCCUCGCAUACGUCGAUACAAAAAGCGGCAGAAAUAAUAUACUCGUGAACGGUCAGUUUCUUCUUGUUGUGUUGUGUUGUGUUGUAUUGUGAAAUUACAUGCGGGCACACGCUUUUCUUUAGAUGUCUUAAAAGAUAUUAAUCUACUAAACUUCACGAGAACUGCUUUGCUUGGUUUGGUACUGAAGCACAAUGUCCCACUUUUUCACUUUAUUUUUCCUCUAGUCGCACUCGGUCUAAUUACGUGUGUUAUUUUAAAAUUUAUCUGUUACUUUUUUUUCCCCACUAAAGCGGCAAUUUUUCUCCCCUGAUUCGUACGGCGCGCAACCCGCGACUUUUCGAUGCGGAAGUCGAAUUUAUAGGUAUGUAAAUUAUAUCAAUUUGUAAUAUGGCUGUGGGAUUUAUUACCAUAUUACAAGGACUGUAAAUUAUAUUAAUUGUGAUUUAGCAACGCCCUCAUAAUAAACUUACUUUUUGUAAGAUAUAGAUAUUUGCUGCGUUAUUUUUAUAUAAAUGUUGAAUUUAUUCUUUUAAAAAUAAGAGAGUACAAACAAAUGUUUUUUGAGGAGAGGUUACUAUGUGGCAUGGAUUAAAAAUAAUAUUUAUUAUGAAAUAGAAAGUAUAGUUUUGACAUAAAAUUUGAUAACAAUAAUAAAUAUGACUUUUAAAGUUACAUCAUGUUUGGAAACAGAAAACAUCAAAUCACACAUCAAACUCAGAAUUAAGCUUAAUAUAUCAAAGUCAAAGAUAACAAAACAACUCAAAUUAAUCAAGCUGGAAACAUUCACGAAAAUAUCUCAAUGAAUAAAUUGAUCGCAUAAAAAUAAAUAUCAAUUGAAAAAACAAAGACAAAAACUCACUUUUCCAAGAAGAGACACAAAUAGGGUUUAAGCGAGAGGGAGAAAAGAGAGUUCAGGUGGCCAUAAAACGGAAGCUGAAGGCUUCUUUAUAGUUAUAUUAAAUUAAGAUUACUUGAUCUUUCCGUUCAAAGAGAGGUUUUACAGAAAUUAAAAAGAUCAGCGUCCUCGCAUACGUCGAUACAAAAAGCGGCAGAAAUAAUAUACUCGUGAACGGUCAGUUUCUUCUUGUUGUGUUGUGUUGUGUUGUAUUGUGAAAUUACAUGCGGGCACACGCUUUUCUUUA
RNAcentral lists this long non-coding RNA (1671 nucleotides) under Citrus sinensis (sweet orange). RNAcentral's name for it is "long non-coding RNA (CSIN_LNC004079)". Lineage: Eukaryota; Viridiplantae; Streptophyta; Magnoliopsida; Sapindales; Rutaceae. The record is from RNAcentral.